CAGUAGCCGCGGGAAUACGAGGGGGGCAAGCGUUGUUCGGAAUUAUUGGGCGUAAAGGGUGCGUAGGCGGUUCAGCAAGUCUCGUGUGAAAUCUUCGGGCUCAACCCGAAGUCUGCACGGGAAACUACUGGGCUUGAGUAAUGGAGAGGUGAGUGGAACUGCGAGUGUAGAGGUGAAAUUCGUAGAUAUUCGCGAGAACACCAGUGGCGAAGGCGGCUCACUGGUCCGGUACUGACGCUGAGGUGCGAAAGCGUGGGGAGCAAACAGGAUUAGAUACCCCGGUAGUCCCUGUCUCUUAUAC
RNAcentral lists this ribosomal RNA (301 nucleotides) under uncultured bacterium. Its description in RNAcentral is "partial 16S ribosomal RNA". It matches the Rfam family "Bacterial small subunit ribosomal RNA", at positions 509 to 807 of the family's 1533-position model. The record is from RNAcentral.